AUCCUUCUGGUUCUUACACAUGAUGACUGGCAAUGUCAUGCGUUUGCGUGAACUGUGCAUCUGUCCUUGUUACGACUUAGCACAUUACCUGUCUGAU
This 97-nucleotide small nucleolar RNA is filed under the name Pelobates cultripes (western spadefoot toad). It matches the Rfam family "Small nucleolar RNA U13". Lineage: Eukaryota; Metazoa; Chordata; Amphibia; Anura; Pelobatidae. The record is from RNAcentral.